RNAcentral lists this ribosomal RNA (407 nucleotides) under uncultured bacterium. RNAcentral's name for it is "partial 16S ribosomal RNA". It matches the Rfam family "Bacterial small subunit ribosomal RNA", at positions 28 to 526 of the family's 1533-position model. The record is from RNAcentral.
GACGAACGCUGGCGGGAUGCCUUACACAUGCAAGUCGAACGGAGUGGCGAACGGGUGAGUAAUGUAUCGGAACGUGCCCAGUAGCGGGGGAUAACUACGCGAAAGCGUAGCUAAUACCGCAUACUAUGGGAGCGGCCGAUAUCGGAUUAUCUAGUUGGUGGGGUAACGGCUCACCAAGGCGACGGUCCGUAGCUGGUUUGAGAGGACGACCAGCCACACUGGGACUGAGACACGGCCCAGACUCCUACGUGAGGCAGCAGUGGGGAAUUUUUGACAAUGGGGGGAACCCUGAUCCAGCCAUCCCGCGUGUGCGAUGAAGGCCUGCGGGUUGUAAAGCACUUUUGGCAGGAAAGCGGUACCUGCAGAAUAAGCACCGGCUAACUACGUGCCAGCAGCCGCGGUAAUUC